AUAGUGUCCCCCCCCCACCAAUUCAUGUCUAUCCAAAACCUCAGGGAAUGUGACCUUAUUCGGAAAUAGGAUCUUUGCAGGUGUAUUUAGUGUAAGAAUAUC
Vicugna pacos (alpaca) is the source of this 102-nucleotide non-coding RNA. The record is from RefSeq and is a predicted model, not a curated record. NCBI's taxonomy places the organism in Eukaryota, Metazoa, Chordata, Mammalia, Artiodactyla, Camelidae.